Molecule: ribosomal RNA, 484 nt
Filed under: uncultured bacterium
Lineage: Bacteria
Description: partial 16S ribosomal RNA
Rfam family: Bacterial small subunit ribosomal RNA
Source: RNAcentral
AUUGAACGCUGGCGGCAUGCUUUACACAUGCAAGUCGAACGGCAGCGCGGGCUUCGGCCUGGCGGCGAGUGGCGAAUGGGUGAGUAAUGCAUCGGAACGUGCCCAGUAGUGGGGGAUAGCCCGGCGAAAGCCGGAUUAAUACCGCAUACGACCUGAGGGUGAAAGCGGGGGACCGAAAGGCCUCGCGCUAUUGGAGCGGCCGAUAUCGGAUUAGCUAGUUGGUGGGGUAAAGGCUUACCAAGGCGACGAUCCGUAGCUGGUCUGAGAGGACGACCAGCCACACUGGGACUGAGACACGGCCCAGACUCCUACGGGAGGCAGCAGUGGGGAAUUUUGGACAAUGGGGGCAACCCUGAUCCAGCCAUGCCGCGUGCGGGAAGAAGGCCUUCGGGUUGUAAACCGCUUUUGUUCGGGAAGAAAUCCUCUGGGCUAAUACCCCGGGGGGAUGACGGUACCGGAAGAAUAAGCACCGGCUAACUACGUG